Triticum dicoccoides is the source of this 1048-nucleotide long non-coding RNA. RefSeq lists it as uncharacterized. The transcript has 3 exons. The record is from RefSeq and is a predicted model, not a curated record. NCBI's taxonomy places the organism in Eukaryota, Viridiplantae, Streptophyta, Magnoliopsida, Poales, Poaceae.
AAAGUCCAAUGGUUUUUCUUGGUAUAGAUUAGCUGAUGAAGUAAUUGGUUAGGUAUAUGUGUUUCUAUGAGCACCGUUGUUGACCCCGUUAUGCCAUGUAUGGAGUGGAGAAGAGUCACGAGGGGUGGUCUUAAUGGCAUCCAGUGGCAAUAUGGAAUCCUGCUUUCAGGCUGUAUUUGCUACGUCAAUAACUGAAACACCAGCCACAUAGUUGACUAUUGAUAUUAAUAUGUCAGUUUAUAGCCGAUUUUCGAUCUCAGUCCACGCUCUCCAAAGUAAUUAAUUAGUUGAUUUUUGCAUAUACAAUAUAUGAGAACUUUACGAUCGUUUCGUAUGUAUACCCACCAGAACUAUAGUUAAUUUCCUCUUAUAUUUUAUAUAUCUUCUGGGUUUCAGCAUUAAGAUGAGCUAUGAUGUUGAGUCAUUACAUAAUUUUCUAUAAUGUGAUGUUUAGUAUAUCAGCUUCCCAACUUUCUUGAAAUAAUGUGUAACACUGUGCAUAACUUUUACUUGGUUUAUUUGAUAGUUAGACUACAAUCCUACUGACAAUGCAAAAGUUAUGCUAAUAGCAAGGAGUACUUGAUUUGUACAGGUUCAUAUUUACAUCAUAUAUUGAUUGAUGAUGUUUCAAUAUAAAACGAAAUAUUCAUAUACAAUCAUUAUUAUGGGAGAAAUAUUCUAAACAUUUGUUUCUAACAGCAUGUAUAUCGUUCCUCUGCAGUUUCAUUAUUUGGAUUUCAGAGUAGCCACUUGUAGAAAACAUAAUAAGGAUCUCAUGAGGACGUGGGAGAAGGAACGACAACAAUUGGUGCAGAUUCAGAAGAUAUGGAUGGUUAUAUUUGUGUGUGACAAGUAUACUGUAAUGAUGAUGAUGAUGAUGGUGGUGGUCCAGUUCAUGAUGAUGAAGAUUGAUGCUUUUAGUUUUAGUUAAGUUGUACGGAUGUUGUUCAUGUUGGAUGAUGUUCCUUGGUUAAGUUUUACUUAAGUUGUAGGGAUGUCAAGAAAAUAUUUAGAUUAUGUACAUUGGGAUGAUGUUCCUCCUAUAAUA